Cornus florida is the source of this 14762-nucleotide long non-coding RNA. RefSeq lists it as uncharacterized. The transcript is spliced from 7 exons. Lineage: Eukaryota; Viridiplantae; Streptophyta; Magnoliopsida; Cornales; Cornaceae. The record is from RefSeq and is a predicted model, not a curated record.
UUUCACUCAUCACAUUCUUCAUUAUUUUUGCUAGGCCAAACGCUGCACACUUUUUUAAAAAACACUGAAGAUUUCACUUUUCAGCCUCAAACCUCUCUCUCACACUUAACUGCGAUUUUCAGUGAUGCUAAAUUAUAAACCCUAUAUGUCGAUCAACUAGAGUCCGACCCGCAAGAUAAUACGAGUUUGGUGUCGGGUGUGAGACCUGGACCAAAACAAAAUUAGGGCCACAACUUCACAAUUUCAAAUUGAUUCAAUUUAUUUAUUUAUUUUCACUCGUUAUUUUGAAUUGAUGAUGAUUUUUAUACUAGUGAUCGUGAUGUUAUUUCCACAUUGUUCGCUGUGUUUCAUUUUAGACUCAGAAAUCACAAAAAUGGUCUUAGGGAAGACUCGGACGUCCUUUUAGAAUUUUGAUCACAUUUUGAAGCUUGUCAAUUUGUUAAACAUUGGUUUGAACUUGCUUCGUUGCUCAAUAAGCUAAUGAACUAUUAGGAAACGAAAAACUAAAGUACCAGAUGUCACUCUUGCGAGUUAGAGUCACAAAGCAGUUGAUAAACUGAAUCAAGUUCAAGGAAUUUUUUUUUUAUUUGAAGGUUAAGCAAACACACACACCCAUGGAGGCUCGAACAUGUGAUCUCCCCAAAGGGGAGGAGGGCUUGUACUAGCUGCGCUAUUGCCCAUUGGUGAGUCAAGUUCGAGCUUGGGAGUAACUAGUUACUACUCAACUUGAUUUGACCCGUGCAUGAUUCUUUAACUUCUCUAUAAUUUGUAUGAUGGAAGUAUCCGUGUUGGCUAUUCUUUAUGUUAGAAAAUUUAAGUUUAAGUACCAUUAGAUGGUCCCAUGAACUCGAAUACAAUCCAAAAAUUUAUCUUUUCAAGUGUACAAUGGAAGUAUGUCCACUAAUGUUUUUGGUAUAAAAUUUAAGUAGAAGUAAAAGCUAGUACGGUCCAACAAUGAACUUCAAUUCAGCAGGACUCAUGCCAUGUUUUGACCACACAAGCAUAUCUCUGAUGAAUAAUGCAAUACAAUUUCUAUAUUGCCUGCUAUUGGUAUUCAUGUAACUCACAUCUUGAGAUAUUUGGAAGCUAGGAUUUGUCAUUCAUAGAUGCACAAUGUGUUGUACAAUAAUUCAAGUGUACAAAAGUACUACUAUGUGUGCUUGUUAAUGGAAAAUAGCUGAGACGGGGACCAACAAAAGGCUCUGUAAAUUUAUGAAAACAGGAUCAUCUCUAUGAUGUUUAUGCUGGAUCUAGCUAGAUUAAAUGAACAACCAACCACCAAUCCUGUGGGAUCUAACUACAAAUUAAUUUAUUUUCAUUUCUAUAAUGUUUGAUCUUCAAUCAUUGUUGAUUAUGUGUGGUCAAAUUUAUUACUCCCAGAGCCACAACCUACAUAGCCAUAUAAGAGUCCAUAAGGAACUUCCAAAUUUUAGGGUCAUAGUUACUAGGAGGGAUAAAAAGUAAGGAGUAUGGAAAUGGCAUAAGAGAUACAUGAGGUUUGAGACAGCACUAUACCAAUUUUCUGUCUUCAUUAUAUAUUUCUUAAAAACAGUUUAGAAUGUACAAGAUGAAUAGUCGAAAUCAUCAUUAUCCAACUAAAGUUAUAAAUUAAUCACAGAUCCCAUUAAGAGAAUUUGGGAUCCUCUUUGAUCAUAUGAUUAACAUUAGAUACGCAGACAUGGUUCACGUUGAUAAUUAAUAAAAAUAAAUUGAAUUCCAUAAUAAUUAUCUGCAUUACUUCACAUUUGUUUCUCCAGCUAUUUUCCAAUUUGAUUCCUUCUUGUGUGUCCUCUUCAUUUUCAAGGUAUUGAUUUUGUUAGAACCUAAAAUGGAGCAAUUUAUGUAAAAAUUGCAAAGUAUUGUUUUUAUUAGAACCUAAAACGGAGCAAUUUAUAUAAAUUCAAGUUUAAAUCCAUGUUGUAGUGUGAAGGUCUAUUUCUGAGUUUGAAUCUAAGUUGGAUCUUGUGAACAUAUUUAUGGAUAAUCCAAACAAAACUUAAUAUACUAAAACGGAUAUGUUUCAUCAAAUAUCAUCAAAGUUGAUUUCUUUUAUCUGUAUUUAUAUUCAGGUCCAACCUGAAAUUUAAGAUUGAAUAAGAUUCAUUUAUGAGCUAUUUUAAAAUUAAAUUUAUAUUCAUAAUCUAAGCACAAUUAACCGAAUUUCAAAUUUCAAAUUGGACUAUUUUGACUGCAGACACGUGUAUCAUGUUAAUGGCAUCUCACUUUUUCUAACAAGCAGAGAAUUAAGGCCAACAAAAUUCUACAAACUGCUUUGAUUAUUCUGCAAUUUACAAAAUCAAGUGAAAGCAGAAGAAGAGCAAGUUGUAACUUUUUCAGUCAACACUAUAGGGGCUGCUUGGUUCAGCGGAAAACAAACUCUUGAAGUAUUCAAAGAAGACAAAUCUCUGAAUACUAGCAGAGAAGAAAACGGGGAGAUAAAAAGGUUUUAUGUAAUACUUUUAGAAUACGAACUAUGAACUCAACUAACUAAUUUAAACUCAGAAUAUAAAGACUUCACCAAGAAUUCUGAAUCGUUUAGAAAGUUAUGUACACAUAUAUUUUAACUUUCAGAAUAUUAGCUUUUAUACAUGCCUACAUGGUCGCUGUGACUGCAUGCUUAACUCUGAAGCUACAGUUGAUGAGAGAGAUUUUUAUUCACAAGAAUCAGAACUAGUUACUUUUUCUUUUAUCAUUCUAUAUUCUACAAAACCUAUUGAAAAAAAAAAAAUAAUAACAUACUUGUAUCAAAAUAAUUCAAGAAGCGAAAAUCAGUUACAUGGGAUUCUCAGGCUCUUUGGCCGGUUGUUUCAGCCGGAAAUAGACUUUUUGAUUGUGGCAGAUGAGACUGUUUGAUGUGAUUAUGGUGUUCUCUGAAUUGAAAAUAGCUUUUACUGAAAUAUAUAGCCAUCUCACCUCUCCACCUGUAUACUAUUUUUAGCUUUACCUCUUGUUAAUUGAGUUACCUAAUUGUGCCGGAACAAUAAUGCAGUUCCAUAAACUUUAUCAUAGCAUAUUCUUUUUGGCAUUGUUUGUGCUCAUUAACAAAUAUUAUGCAAUCGAUGUCGUGACAUAUCUUUUGGAGCUUUUUGCACAAUAUAAUUAUCUCUUGAUUCUAUUGUUUGUAUUCAAGAAUGUAUCAAAUUUGUAUCCUCCUUUGAGCAAACAAAAUACUGUUCAACAGUUACCUCUGUCAUAAUUUAAUAGGUCUAUAUCGAUAUCCAUUAAUGGAACUACUGUGUAUAUAUUCUAUGGAAAGACAACCGAGCAUGUAGCUUUGCUGGUUGAGGUUUCAAUCCCAAUUGAUAAAGUAGUUUUUGUGAAUGGUACAGAGUAAACUGAGUCAGAAAGUGAAAUUCUUUGCCUCAAGAUAAUUAUCUUGGCAUCACAACUCUAUCUUUGGUAGAUCAAUCUCUUUUUCCACUUUGUUAUUUGAUUAAGUGAAGUAGAUACCAUGCCUUUAUAAUUAUAGGAUAAGAAAUGUCCAAUUAAUGCACUGUUAAAGUGCAAUGCACAACUUAGCAAAGAAUGUGACUGUACAAUAACAAUGACAUGUAAUAUGGUGGAAAAAAUUGCUUAAAUUGGAUUAAAAUCAUACACUAUCCUUUCCAAAUUGACCACAUAUGUUUUAAAAAGAAGUAAUGCAAAGCGGCUGUAAAAGGACUUUUUUAGGUGGCACAACUUUUGUCAAAACACUAGGAUAAGUGCUGGAAAACAAUAAAAUAAAAACUCAAAGCCCCUGACGUCACACACAAUCCACUUUCUCUACCAAUUCAAACACUAGACUUGCAGACACACUCUCUCUCUACCAUUUCUGCACGACACUUGGCUCUAUCGCACUGAGUUCGUGAAAAAGGUGUUUGGCCUGUAAAAGUGGUUGGUUUUGAUGGAACUAGAUAGGCGUGCUAGGAACUGCUGUAGUUCCGAAGAGAGAUUCAAACAAUAUUCCCGAAGGAAGAUUGCAAGACCAGGCGACUGUGAUGAGGUCUGGAAUGAACACCUCAGGGUUCUUUUUGCUUUUAAAAAAGGAUUUCGGGAUUGUUAACUGGCUAGGAAGAAUUACGUUACUUAUGAAAGUAAUUGACUGGAAAGUAAGAUUAUUUAAUGUAAAGUGCAAAACUUCGACUACACGUAUUGAAAUUGCAUUGCAAUGAAAAUAAAGAUUGUAUUGAAAUGCUGUGUUUGUGCGUUGAGCAGGCCUUUUAAGUUACAAUAUCAUGCCCUAUUUAUAGAAUUUAGUAAUGGUAGCUUGCAUGUAACUGCUUGCUUCCUAGGCUGCCAUGUGACCCAUGACUUUGCAUGUAACCGCUUGCUUCCUUAGAUGCCAUGUGUCCCAAGACUUUCCACUGAAACGUUGUAGUACCUUUCCAUUGGAAUCGACCAGCUUUUGAGGUUGCCAUGUGUCCCAUGACUUUGCAUGGAAUCGCUUAUAACUGCUCGCUUCCUAGGCUGCCAUGUGUCUCAUGACUUUGCGUGUAACCGCUUACUUCCUAGGCUGCUAUGUGUCCAUGACUUUGCAUGUAACCGCUUGCUUCCUUGGUUGCCAUGUAUAUCAAGACUUUCCACUGGAACGUCGUAGUAUCUUUCCAUUGGAAUCGACCAGGGCAAUCUUCCACUGGAAAGUGGAAAAAUAGAGUGUAAACAAGAGGUGACCUCAAAUGGUGAUGGAUUGGAGGUCUUCGACUAUCUAUGUACAGUUUGUGGGAAAGAUCGAGAGAAUUUUGAAACCUAAUUAGGUAUUCCACCUAUCCAUUAGUUGAUGUAUUUGUACUUGCUUUUCAUCCAAUCUGGUUCAUCUAAUAAAUUCUAUAUCUUUUAAUAUGUUUAUUAUCUUUCAUCUCUGCAAUUCCACUAUACAGUCGAGUUUUGGUGGUGCAGAGUCGGUUAAAGAAGAGCAGAGACGUAUUUGUUCAUAUUUAACACACAAUUUUCCUUUCACUUCUCAUUACUUAGUGCAUUUAUAGAGAUCCUAAGCUGGAAUGAGAAUACAAAUUGUUAAUAUUUGCCAAAUCCUAUAUAUAUUAGUAUGCUUAAUUUGGUCCAGUGUUUAAUUUGUCUUUGGCCUUCCUAAAUCUUUGUUGUAAUGAUAUUCAUUGUUAUUUUCCUGAUCUAUCACAUUACUUUGUUCUAAAUUGAUUAUUGGUACCUAUUGCAAAAACACCCGCUUAAUUUCCUCAUUUUUGGUAGUUGUUUAUUGCUUAUUUCUCAAUUUUUUGGUGUGCUCAACAUUUGGUGCAGAGUAUUGGGACAUCACUGAGUUUGUCGUGUGUAAGAAAUAUUUAGCUCUCUUCCUUCAUUUGGCUUUUGUUUUAAUUUCAGAGUUAUUAUACCGCUUCAUGAUUACUUAUCAAAAAAAAAAAAUUAUACCGCUUCAUAGGGGUGGUAAAUGGGUGGGUUGGGUUGGGUUGAAAAUGGGCGGGUCAAUAUGGGUUAAGACCCAUAUUUAACCCGUUCAGAACGGGUUCAAUAUGGGCGGGUUGAAUAUGGACAGGGUCAACUCGUUAUGACCCGUGAAUCCAUUAAUUAUUAUUAUUAAUUAUUUUUUAUUUUAUUUUUAUUUUUCUUUUUUAAUUUUUUAAUUUUUUUUUAUUAAAUGUUAACAUGAUUAUUAACCUUUUGCAACCCCAAUGCUAUCAUCAUACAUCCCUCUCUCUAUAUAUACCAUAUAUAUGUAUAUGUGUAUAUGUAUAUAUAGCAGAGGAAAACACAAUCACCUCUCGGCUCUCAUGACUUUCUCUCUCUACAUAUAUAUGGUAUAUAUAUGUAUAUGUGUAUAUGAAUUGCAUGUGUAUAUAUAUAUAUAUAUAUAUAUAGCAUAGGAAAACACAACCACCUCCCUACAUUCCCACGAUCACGACAUGCGCCUUCAAAUCCGAUUCCCAUGAGUCCAUUACAAACUGGGCUCUAACAUAUUAUAAAAUUAUAUAUGUAUUGUUUCCUUCACUCAUUCCAAAUUUUACAAUCUCACUUUCUCUCUCUAGAUGAAUAUAUGGUUCUAAAUAAUGGCCCGCCAAAUCUAAAUCCGUAAAUUUUUUAUUUUUAAAAUUUUUUAAAAUUAUUUUUUAACUAUUAAUUAUUUUUUAAUUUUUUUUAUAAAAAAAUUAAUUAUUUUUUAAUUUUUAAAAUUUUUUAUAAUUAUUUUUUUUUGAAAGGUUUUAAAAAUUUUAAAAAUUUUAUUUAAAAUUUUUUUUUUUUUUUUUUAUUUUUAAAAAUAGAUUUUAAAUAUUAAUUUUUUUUUGAAGAAGUUUCUAGAGAGAGAAACUUAGAGAGAGGGGAUUGAUAAGAGACAAAUUUAGAGAGAGAGGAUUGUGAGAGAGAGAAUUUUAGAGAGAGAAAUGAGUUGAGUGCAUAGAAUAUAUGUGUGUCGUGUGUUUAUUAUGUGAUGGGUGAAAUAUGGGUUGGAUAUGGUUAACCAUAGUAACCAUAUUCAACCCAUCUUGACCAUCAAAUUAAGUGGUUAAAAAUUACCCAACCCAUCUUGACCCUCAAAUUAAAAUGGUUCACCCAUAACCAUUAAAAGGCGGGCGGAUAUGGGCGGGUUGAUGGUUCCUGACCCAUUUUGCCACCCCUACCGCUUCAUGACUAUAUAAUUUCUGAGGCUUUUCAGGUGAAACAUUUUAACCUGUACAUACCAUUGUUGAAUUCUUGGAUAUACCGAGCAAUUAUACACUCCAUUAAAAUGUUUUAGUAUGUGACUAGAUUUGCUCUGUUUUGAAAGUAAGCACUAUUCUCUGUUUUUAUUUUUUUCAACCUUGUACACUUGAGUAGCUCACACACAUAUAAUAUCAUGCAUAGUGUUGAAGAAAAUGAUAACAAUGCAUGCCCAAAAUACUUUGUUUUAUAUAGUUUUGUAUUUCAUUUCUCAUGUUAGAAAUUGCAAUCUCAAGACUUUUUGUGAAUUUUUCAUUGAUACUUGUGGUGUACGGUUGAAUUUGUUAUGGUUAGAUGAUUCCUUUGUUGAAGAUUUUAUUUUAUUUUUUAUUAUUAUUAUCUGAUGACGAGAUCUAGUUGUUGAUUUGAUUAGAUUACAAUAUCAUAUGCGAUAUGGAGGAUAGUAGCACAAUCAUUUCAUUCAACCCCGUGCUAAAAGUUGAGUACACGACUUAAUUAAGCUAAGCUAGCAUUGAGUUCAUACUUCAUAGAUUUAAAAAUUGAAGACAGUUUUUAUUUUCAAGUGAUUUCAAAUUUUCCAACAAUUGAACUCUAAUUAGUCAUUUAGUUCAAAAGACACGACUAGCCUUCCUUUCUAUUACCAGAUGAAAGCAUAUUAGCAUUAAUUAGAGCAAAUUGCAUGAUCUAUUUACAGUUUGAGAUAAUGGUUCUAACAACUCUAUGAUAUGCAUGGAAAUUUGAGAUGCUUGGGCCAUUUGGGAACUUAGUAUACUGAUUUUGGUUGCUGAUAAGUACCUUGAUUCUUUGACAUCCAUAUAUUUUUCUUGUCGAUGUUAUACCUCUAAGCAAUUCCAAGCAAUUCCAGUAUUUUCCAACAUGAUUCAACUAGAAAGAAAUAGAGGAUAUUGUACCUUGGAACUAAGCUGGGUUCAUUUUUAUAGAUUAGUAUCAAUAAUUUUAAUUAUUUACACAAUUGUAUACUCUUCAUAGGUUUGCAAUGAAGUCGGCACUUAUCAUGCAUUACAAAAUCCCAGAGCAUCCUACCCUUCAUCUUCUCAUUUACCUUUAUCACAUGUAAUUAUGAAGUAGCAUUUGACUCUGUAUGGUCAAGUCCUGUCUUCAAAUGAUGCACACCGUAUUAGAUUGUGUUGACGCUAGAAUCGGCUCCUAAGAUCCGAUUCGGAAUUGAUGUUUACAGGCGUGCCAGAACCAAUAAUAUGGUUCGAUUGUAAAUAGUCAACGUUAGUCUCUUUAAGAAUAUUGAUUAUCAGGCGAUGCGAGGAUAAAGAGAACAGUGAUACUCUUCUUAGAGUUCAAGAAUUGCCUUAAUUAAAAAGACUUUUAAUUGAAUGAAUUAUAGUAAUGAUUGAGAGAAUAGAAAGGGGAAAGAAAUAGAUAUAGAAAGAAUAGAGAGAGAGAGAGAAAGAUUUAGAGGGAGAGAGAUAGAAUGAGAAUAAAAGAGAUAGGGAGAGAGAGAGAAAUAGCAAGAAUGCUAUUUUGGGAAAGAGCUUGAGAAAGCAAACAAAUAAAUUAAAGAUUCUAGGGUUGCUGGACCCCUAUCUCAGCAUGCCUCUUUGAUUAUUUAUAGAAUAAAACAUGGAAACAAACUCCUAUAUGCAAGUAUUUUACUUGCAUUACAACUCUAUCACAACUAACUAUAAAUUCAAAAUAAACUAAUCCUAUAGAUAACCCAACUAACUAUAAGUUUAAAAUAAACUAAUCCUAAAGAUAAACAUAAAUAUUUAACUUACAUCAACUAAAAGAUAAAUACUAAAAUUAUAAUCCCUAUCCAUUAAAUAACUCAAAUGCUUCAAUCUCCUUUGCCUCUUAAUGUAGCUUCUGUUACCUUUUUCACGUGUCAAAUUGGUUGCCAUAUCAUUAAUACAAAAUUUACCAAAAAGGGUGUCAACAAUGCCCCCUAAUUUUAAAUGUCUUAUCGACUGUCGGCCGCCCAAGCCGAUAAGAUAUUUGAAAUUUAAAGUACAUUGGAAGAAAAUUUUGAACAAAGGUUACGCUAGUCACUUGGAAUCAGAUUGCAAAUCAAUGAGCUCCAAAGCUUUAUUUCUUCUGAAUUACCUCUAAGAUGAUCUUUAUUUCAUUUUAGCCAAAUCUGCCGAUUUAGGCUUCUUCCUAGAAUCUCAUAAAGUUUGCCGAUAUUGCCGGUCCAUAAACCCAGGAAGGACUUGCCCCCCAUGCGUUUUCUAACUCCUCUAGCAAAUCAUGAUCAUGAUCGGCAAGAAUUAAAUUAUUGUGAAGCGUCAUUCUAGCCGAUCUGCCUAUUAUCUCUACUAGAUAAAUGAUAUUGAGCCAGCAAGGAGUUUUCUUAGCUGAAUUCCUUUCAGCCGAUUUUGCCUUAGCUGAUUUUUCCUCCAGCUUAAUCGGCAGGACUGUAUCAUGCCCAAAAGUGCAUUGAUCGGCAAACAUGACCUCACUAUACUCGGCAUGCUGAAAUGGAGCGUAUGGAUCAAAUAACUUUUGUUUGGGGUUUGCAAUCACAUCCCCCCCGGCAGCCGCUGGUUUUUUAGCCGAUUUUCUUAUAACCAAUUUUGUCGUAGUCGAUUUUCUUUCAGCCGAUUUUACCUCAGCCGAUUUUCUCAAUCGAUUUUUAAGUACCCUUGUGAAAUUAACAUCUGCUAGUCUUUUUCUUCUUUUCUUGAAGUUGGGCUGAGGACAGCGAGUAAAACAAUUCUUUCAGCUGAUGAUUGUUUUUGCCGAUUAUUAGAUGUCACAAUCGGCAAAGAAUUCUGGUACAUAGGCCGCUUUGCUUUUAGCCGAUUUGUAGCUUUCCAUUCAUCAGUAACAUGCUGAUAGCUUUUCCAACUUUGUUGUUGAUAAGUCAUCUGUUGUGACUGAUUUACCGUCUGCCGAUAAUCGACUACUGGAACUUGCCGAUAAUUGGCAGUCGGUGACUGAUAAUAUUCUGGCAAACUUUGCUGCCGAUUUUCUGAUAAAAUUUCCUGCCGAGAUCGACAAGACUGGCCAAUUUCGGUACUGGUUAUCGACAGCCCCUCAUAUAACAGAGGUUGUGAUACAGGGGUGACAUGUUGAUUUACCACCUGGUCAGGAUAAGGUUUCUUGUACACAGGUUGAGCACAUUUACGCCCUUGAGCUACCUCGGUUUGGAUAAGCUGAGCCAUCAAUUCUUUAAUCUCCUGAUCAAUCUCCCCAAUUUCUUGCCGUUCUCUCUGAGGGGGAAUCGGCAUAACUGGUGGGCGUUGUAGAAUAACCUUUGCUGAUUUUACAUUCGGCUCAAUCGGCAUCAAUUGUAUUUCUGUUAUUAUCAGCGGAUUGCCGAUGGGCAUACCAAAAGUUGUGUUCGGCGGGACAAUUACUGUCGUAGUUGUUUGUGGCCCUUGAGAAAUGUUUGUCAACGGUAAAGAAAUACGUUGAAAAAUUGAUUCAAGAGAUGUCGAGUUUUCAGCUCGAUAACGACUUUGGAUAGUCGAUAUCUGAGCCUUCAUUGCUUUCAAAUCCUGAAUAAUCUCUUGCCAAUCGGCUAUCACUUGCCGAUAAUCGGCUGCUGGCGUCUGGUUUGCCAUUUGCUGAUAAUCGGCUACUGGUCGCUGAUAACUUUCAGGCCAACCAUAUGACUGAUUGGCUUCACCUGCCGAUAAUCGGCUUCUGGUGACUGGUUUACCAUUUGCCGAUAAUCGACUAUUGGAACUUGCCGAUAAUCGCUUAUUAGAACUUGCCGAUAAUCGCUUGUUGGAACUUGCCGAUAAUCGACUAUUGGCGUCUGCCAAUAAUCAACUAUUGGAACAUGCCUAUAAUUGGCUGCUAGAGCAUGCCGAUAAUCGUUUGUCCAACCAUAUGGCUGAUUAGAAUACUGGUACAUCGGCUGAUUUGAGUUAUUAAAAUAUUUGUAUGUUGGUUGAGAAGCCGACUGCAUAUUUUUACUAUAAAUCACUCACCUAGUGGGGUCCCACCGAGCGUGCCAAGAAUGUUGACGCUAAAAUCAGCUCCUAAGAUUCGAUUUGGAAUUAAUGUUUACAGGCGUGCCAGAUCCAAUAAUAUGGUUCGAUUGUAAAUAGUCAACAUUAGUCUCUUUAAGAAUAUUGAUUAUCAGGUGAUGCGAGGAUAAAGAGAACAGUGAUACUCCUCCUAGAGUUCAAGAAUUGCCUUAAUUAAAAAGACUUUUAAUUGAAUGAAUUAUAGUAACGAUUGAGAGAAUAGAAAGGGGAGAGAAAUAGAUAUAGAAAGAAUAGAGAGAGAGAUUUAGAGGGAGAGAGAUAGAACGAGAAUAAAAAGACAUAGGGAGAGAGAGAAAUAGCAAGGAUGCUAUUUUGGGAAAGAGCUUGAGAAAGCAAACAAAUAAAUUAAAGAUUCUGAGGGUGCUGGACCCUAUCUCAGUAUGCCUCUUUGAUUAUUUACAGAAUAAAGCAUAGAAACAAACUCCUAUAUGUAAGUAUUUUACUUUCAUUACAAUUCUAUCACAACUAACUAUAAAUUCAAAAUAAACUAAUCCUAUAGAUAACCCAACUAACUAUAAGUUUAAAAUAAACUAAUCCUAAAGAUAAACAUAAAUAUUUAACUUACAUCAACUAAAAGAUAAAUACUAAAAUUAUAAUCCCUAUCCAUUAAAUAAUUCAAAUGCUUCAAUCUCCUUUGCCUCUUAAUGUAGCUUCUGUUACCUUUUCAACGUGUCAAUUUAUUCCCAAAUUAGUUGCCAUAUCAUUAAUACAAAAUUUACCAAAAAGGGUGUCAACAGAUUGGGUCUAGGUAUGUAUAUCUUUCUCCAACUCUUCCUAUGUAUAGAGCUAUGUUUUUCUCUUAGAUAUAUAUGUAUAACCAGCUAUUGAAGCUCACAAUGGAACAGAUUGAAGCUCAUCUAUGUUGAAUUAAGAGAUUCUUUGUUCCCUUGGCGAUUCUCUGUUCGGGUGAGACAGAGACAUAUUAGGUACUUGUUGGUGGCAUUGAUGCAGAUACCAUGCUACUGGAUUUUUGCUUUAUUAAUAGUGAAGAUGAAGCACAUUGAUUCAAACCAUUGUAUACAUUGUUGCUAGAGUGUUGAUAGAAUUGUCUGAAAUUUCUUUUGUAUAAUUUGACAUUUUUAUAUUUACUUAUUCAUGAUAACUAAUGUAUACAUUGGUAGAGUUUCGGUAAAUUUGAAGUUUGAUUCUUUUUGUUUAAAUUACUCCAUGUGGACAUGAUUUAGCAAUGUAUACAUUCCCUGAUAAUCUGGUAGCUAGGAAGUUACUGUUAUAUAAAACUCUUUGGCAGCAGAUAUUAUUGCUCCAAAAGGCAGAAAAUAGGCAGCUAUAAAGGGUCUUUGACAGCAUAUAAAUGUUGCCUAUUGUGGCCCUAAGGUAGUGGCCAUGACUACCGUGCUUUUUUAUUGCACACAGUUUUGCCAGCAGAUAUCGCUGCAAAAGGUUUAGGCAGCAGUUUUUAUCACUUGUAGCAGCAGAAAUAUCUGCUGCUAUUUCCUGUUUUUGUUAUAGUGAUUAGAACUGAUGGCUAGGUGGGAAAUGAUUGAUGUUUGUGAUGUGUUAGAGCUUCUGUCUCCUGUUUUUGAUGGUGAAAAGGUCAGUAGUACAUAUAUAUACAUGUUUUUGUGUUUGUCUGUUCAUCUUCAUUAUAAGGAUUGAAUUGACAUGGAAUAACUCAAUUCUACUCAACAUAGUCUUCUAUCAAUUAUGUGGAACUGGUUACAUGAAUUUUGCUGUAUCUAGCGUCACAUUCUUUGUCAAAUUACAUGCUAUCUUAACGUUUGUACUAUCUCAAUUCUCAACCUUUGUUAGUUUUGGUCUUCUCUUCCCCCAAUACAACUUGCAGUACAAAUUCGAUAAUGUAGAUAAAUUGUGUAUAUUGUUCUGAAUUAUAAUAUAUCAUUAUCCCUUUAACUGGUUUGUACAUAUGCUGUCAGUGUUCUUGAAAGAGCUGAUGAUGAAGAGCUCCAUUGUUACCUACUUCAACUAGUUCAAGCUUUGUGGUUUGAGUGCUCUGAUAAAUCUCGCCUUUCUCAUUUGCUUGUGCAAUGGUGUAUUCAUGCUGUUAUACACAAAAUUUUCAAAGUGGCAAUUUUAUGGUAUUUUGCAGUUAACUACUUGAUGUCAUCUGAAAGUGUCCUUGAACUAUGGCUGCAUUAUGUAAUAUUGAGUUGGCUAGUUUUCUCCGGUGGUAAGGUGCAGUGGAACUUCAUGAUCCUACAUAUGCAAAACGUUUUUAUUGUACCUAUGACAUUCUAGAAGAAAAUAUGAUGAAGGAAAUGUAUGGGGCAGAACCCAGAAGAAGAUUGAAAAUCUUAGACAGCUUCUUUUUGGCCUUCUAAGUGAUUUUACCUUACUUUGAAGAGCCUGUAAGAUCACCUUUGGCACCAAGUGUCCUCAUCACAGGGAUUGUUCCAUCAUAAUCGUCAAUAUUUAAAAGUGCACUGCAUCCUUUGCGUCUGACUUUUCGAACAGCAAGUGGAAGAAGUUGCAAGAUCAUCAAGAAAGGAGACGAAAUUCGGCAAGACCGUUCAUGUAGGUUGUUAAAAUGGUAUCACUUGUGGAUUUAGGAAUCUUGAUCUACACUCAACUGGACACGAUGAAGGCGUGCUGGAAUUCAUACCAUCCAGUUCUUUAGGACAGAUUUUUGCAUAGCACUGUAGUAUUAUAAGUUUUCUGCAGAAGUUCCACCCUGACGAAGAUGGACCAUUUGGGAUUACAGCCACCUCUCUUGAAACAUUCAUAAAAAUCUGUGCUGGCUACUUAGUCAUCACAUAUAUAUUGGGAAUUGGGGACUUCAUUUAUUUGGGAAAUGGAAAGUGAUGCCUUGGCUGCUUCAAUAUAUGUUAUUGUCUAAUUUUAUUCUUAUGCAUGUAUGUAAGAUUGCCCCAGUUCAUGAAUGUAAAGAUGAAUAUUGCUGCACGUUAGAACUACUAUGAAGUUGUAUAUUUUUACUUUCGUCUAAUCGUGUAAUGUUUGGAGCUUAAUAUCUUUAUCUGCAAAUUUGUGAAGCUUCUGAUGACAAUAAAACAUACAUUUCUAAAUAAUUUAGCCUGGAUUUUGAACCCCAACCAAAACAAUUCCGAAAAAGAAACCUCCCUUCCACCCUAGAAAAGGGUAUAUUAUCAAUUCCUUUAACUGUGUUCUAUCUUGCAUCUCUAGUAUUUUCACAAGUAGGCUAUCAGUUCGAAUUCAUUAGACUGGAAGUAACAUUUUUUGGAUACGCGUUCAAUCCAAUUUAAGGAUGAUCCUCUUUUAUUGCUUGUCUGCUCCACACAACAUGCAUGUCAGUUCCUCGUAUAUGAUCUCAGUGCAAUAUCUUAUGUCCAUUCUUCACUUGUUAAAUCGAAGUUUGAUUCUUGAGUCAGAAGUCUUCCUGGUCUCUAGGCACCUUGAUAAUUUUCUCCUUAGGAAUGAUGGCCGCCUCUUUCAUGUUGAUUUCGGUUUUAUUUUGGGUCGAGACCCAAAGCCAUUUCCACCACCAAUGAAGCUUUGCAAAGAAGUGGUUGAGGCUAUGAGUGGAGCAGAAAGGUAUUCUUACCUUUCUAAAGUAAUUAAUUAUAAUCCUUGGUGCUUUAGGUGUGUCAUGUUAGUUAGACAAGGUCCAAUCAGAUUUUUGACAUAAUUUGACUCAGAAAGCAUGUUGUGUUACACUUUUGCCUCCUGCAGCCAAUACUAUACCAGGUUCAAAUCUUACUGUUGUGAAGCUUUACAUCCUCCUGUGAAAUUUAGUAAUCUAAAAUUGAAUCUGUUUCAGCACAUGGCGGGUUCCAAUAUUCCUGCUUCUUAUCCCGUGAAAGGAAUUCUUAAGCUUCAAGAAAAGUUCCGGUUACUUGGACGAUGAGGAGGGCAUACAUUUUUUCGAAGAUCUUAUCAAUGAGAGUGUCAGCGCUUUCUUCCCUCAAAUGGUGGAGACCAUUCAUCGCUGAUCCAGAAAAUGACUAGUAUUUAUGCCUCUGUAAUUUGAUUUAUAAUUUCUAAGUUCAUUUCUGGGAGUGUCUUUCUGCAAAAUUAGUUGUUCGAAAGUCAACCUCGGCAUGUUUUAUGCUGGAUUUUUGAAUUAAAUUACAGUUGGGUGCAUAAAUUUUUCUGAAAUCACUGGUUUUGGGCUGAGUGGAAGCUGGUCCCUACGCAGUAGUGUGCGCCUGUGCUUUCACAUUGAUUCUUUGUAAUAUUCUUGUGGUCGAUGUGCCCAAUUUAAUGGUAGUGGUAAUGAUUGUUAAA